Molecule: long non-coding RNA, 204 nt
Organism: Helianthus annuus (common sunflower)
Lineage: Eukaryota; Viridiplantae; Streptophyta; Magnoliopsida; Asterales; Asteraceae
Exons: 3
Source: RefSeq, a predicted model, not a curated record
UUCAGCAUUUGUUUGAAGGUUUAUCCGACCCGUUGAUUUUCUCUCACAUCUUAGUUCUUCCAGCCGUUUUACUCUUGGAUCGAAGAAAAAUUGGAAAAUGUUUCAGUCAUGCCAAAUCGACAAGGAGCUAAUUGGUAGAAUAGUGGGCUAAUUGAAUCCAUGAAGCUUACACUAACUGGCACAAUCGACGGUACGAUGGUACAU